This 1419-nucleotide ribosomal RNA is filed under the name Triticum aestivum (bread wheat). RNAcentral's name for it is "partial small subunit ribosomal RNA". The record is from RNAcentral. Lineage: Eukaryota; Viridiplantae; Streptophyta; Magnoliopsida; Poales; Poaceae.
AUGAAGAUGAAGGAGGGGGGCGACUGGAGCAGCGAGUGGCGGCGGCCGCACGGCAGCGCCAAGUUGGGUGGCCUAUCCAUGGUCCCUGAAUGGGAUUCGCUUCCACCGGAGCUUGUCCAAGCGGUCGCCGACCGCGUCCUCUCCGCCACCGGCGGCGUCGACGCGUACAUGGACAUGAGGGCCGUCUGCUCAACCUGGCGCUCUGCCGUCGCCAAGUCAUCUCCUUUCGCCGCGGUCGCCGGCCUCCGUUUCCGCCCGCGCCACUGGGUCAUGCUCGACCUGCAACCCGACGACCUCAAUGACGAGGCUCGCCUCUUCCUCCACGUCCCCACCGGCCGCUUCCGCCGCCUGCACCUCCCGGCGCUCCGCGACAACCUCGUCGCCGGUGCUGCCGACGGUCUCCUCGUGCUCGCGGACAUGUAUCCGCCGCACUUGGCUCGUGUCCUCAACCCAUUUACAGGUGACAUGCUCCACUUCCCCGCGGCGUUACCUCGGCAUUUUACCUUUACCUCGGUGAUGAAGGGAGGCUCUCAUCCGACGCUGGUCUUGCUGAGAUGGGGCUCGGUGUUCUGUGCUGCCCCAAACAGCGAUCUCUUUACACAGACAGAGGAGGCCGUUGAAUCCUACUUGGUGAGCAUUGCUAACUUCCAGGGCGACGUCUAUUGUGCCGAUGGCCGUGGAUGUGUAUUCAAGUUGGUCGCACUCGCACCAGCAGCAGACCAGUGUGAUGAUGAUGAUGAUGAUGAUGAUGAUGAUGAUGAUGAUGAUGAUGAUGAUGAUGAUGAUGAUGAUGAUGAUGAUGAUGAUGAUGAUGAUGAUGAUGAUGAUGAUGAUGAUGAUGAUGAUGAUGAUGAUGAUGAUGAUGAUGAUGAUGAUGAUGAUGAUGAUGAUGAUGAUGAUGAUGAUGAUGAUGAUGAUGCCGCGGCGCCGCCGGAUGUGCACGUAUAUACACAAGAGGGAGAUGAUGAUACAAAAGAGGGAGAUGAUCACAGCGAAAUGCCUUCUUAUCUUGUGGAGUCUGCUGGGGAACUGCUGCUCGUUUGCUCCGUUGAUCAAACUUUGAAAGUUUUCAGAGUCAACGUCGAGCACAAGUUGUUGGAGGAGGUCAAGAGCCUCGGCGGCCGCACCUUGUUCCUCGGCCAAGAGAGGUGUGUGUCUGUCGAUGCAGCGAAGCUUCCUUCCGUUGACGGAGAUUGCAUAUACAUGUUAGAUUUUGAAAACGCGCCCAUGUCAGAUUCUGAAAGCGUGUCCAUGUCAGAUUCUGAAGACAUGUCCGUGUCAGAUUCUAGAGACAAGAUAUGCGUGUAUAACCUAAGAGGCGACGUGGUGGACAUUAUCUCCAGCAAGGACUUUUGUGCUCGACCUUUCAGCCUUGUCCAGGUUCUCCUGCGGUACUGUGAUGUCCUUCCCAAAUUGUAA